Long non-coding RNA from Diceros bicornis minor, 1980 nucleotides. RefSeq lists it as uncharacterized. The transcript has 2 exons. The record is from RefSeq and is a predicted model, not a curated record. NCBI's taxonomy places the organism in Eukaryota, Metazoa, Chordata, Mammalia, Perissodactyla, Rhinocerotidae.
AGCCCUGAGGCCUAAGAAGGAGCCGGCCUUGCAAGGCUCUUGGGGAAGGAAGUUCCAGGCAGACGGAACAGCAGGCACAAAGGCCCUGAGGGCUCUGCUUCCAACUGUUGCCUCUUCCAAGAUGGCUGCCCUGACCACCCCCAGCUAAUUCAGCCCCUUAUGACCCUGUUAGCAGGUGAGCUGCUCUUCGUGAUAAAAUAGGAGAGGGUGGUGCUCUCUUUCUAUAUAUAGGAGAUAUAUUAGCCUGAUGGGCAUUCAUUUCCCCUUCUCAUUUUUCGUUGGAAACCAUCCUUUCCUUCUCUUAGUCUGUGAGAUUGGAUGGGGCCGGCCCCAUUCCCCAGCUCCAGAAAUGAGCACAUCAUCCAAGUAAAGCCAAUGAGAGACAGCUGCAGAACUUUUGCUGGAAUGACCCAGAAAGCCAAAUUUUUGUUCUGCCGUGGUUAUUUAUCUGGUAGGAUAUAAGGUUUGAGCUGCUGGGGAGCAGAGGACCUGCCUGAAAACGAACUGAGUACUGAGGAAAGCAGAGGUGAGAGAGGGAGAGAGGCACAGUUCUGAGUGUAUUGUUUGAGCACCUACAUUCAGCCAUACCUGAAAUCCAAACUCCCCCUGGACUUUUCCAUUAUAAGAGCCAAUAAGUUCCCUUUGUGCUUAAUUAAGCUAGUUUGGGUUUCAGUCACUUGCAACAGAAGACCUGAUUGAUGAUAAAUCUUCAAAGAUGUGCCGGCAGUCAAGCUUGGGUACUUUCCCCUUGAGGGAUGUGGGCAGGUGCUUCCCUCACUCUGAAGCUGUUUCCCCUCUAGAGGCUCCUAUUCGAGUGUUUGUGGUUCGUUCAACCUGAGAUAGAAAAGCAGAAUCAAAGUGCCAGACGGGAGGAGGGGUGGCUAUAGGAGCAGCCAGGCAGCCAGCAGUGGGGACUAGGAAUCUGCAUUAUUGAUAAGCAAAUCCAUUUUCCUUCCCUCUUCUCUGUAGGCAGAGCCCUGAAUUUAUUAGCUCCGUUCGUGUGUCCAGCAACAGCAGUCUAAGUCAGUCGCAGUUCUCCGGUCCCCUUGUUGGUGACUGGUUCUGGAAGGGGCUGUGACACACUCUUGGCCAAGAAGACGUGAGGGGACAUCUGCUGGGGAGGGGUCAGCAGGAGGUUUCUGGGGGAAAAUGUUUUUGUUCUUCAACAGCAAUGCAGGGGAAAGAAACUUCCUUUCUCUGCCUCCCGCAGAAAGCGCGGCAGUGUGAGGGCAUUGACUGACACGGAAUUCGACUCUCUUGAGCUCUCAGUCCAAAGCAGGAUCACGACAGAGUCUGUGUUUGGUUCUGCCCUCCAUCCACGUGGGGAAAGAGGGAGUGGUAACAACAUUCUUCUAGUUUAACAAAGAAAAGCUCACAAAUCUUUAUCCUUUUCAGAAUCAACAUGCCAACUCCCAGGGCAACAAAUUAGGUAAGACAACAAAUCACAAUUACAGAUUUGGGGAGGGGGGGGUGAAGUGUCCUUUCCCGAGAUGUACCAGUCGUCUCUGAAGUCCCUGUGGCCUACAAAGAAUAUUUGCAAGAGGAGUUUUAUGAUGCCGAAGAGUGUCUGAUUUUCUCAGCUGCAAAGAAAGAUAAUUUUUCUACUAUCUUUCUGUAAUUUCUUUCACCAGCCUUUAGAAGAACCUAUAAGAGCUGGAAUGUCAACGUCAAGACCUGGAAUCCCACUGGUUAGUACCAAAAGCAAAGUCAGAGAGACUAAACACUUCAAAUAGGGAAAGGAAAUGGGCAGAGUAGGAUUUCAGCAAAAGGAAGUAUAAGGUUGUAAUGUUUUGCAUCCACAGGAAACGAUGGCUGGAACUGUAGCAGCCACGUUGCCACCCUGAGGGAUGAUGCUGCCAACAUGCCAAGGAAUCUUAGUCCAUGGGGACAUCAUUCAAAUGACGCAGUGACCACUGUAGAACCUCCCUACCUUGGUGGGACUAGUUGUUUUGUAAAAUAAUAAAGGCCCUUAUUUUUUAA